UGUUGUUGUUUUAUAGAGUCAGACUGUGUUCUCGGGGAAUACAGGCUUUCUAUCCCAUUCCCAAGUAGGCAAGCAAGUAGGAAAGCCCUUCUCAAGUAGGUUUGGUUGGUUGGCAUAGUCCAUUGUUUAGGAAUCCAAUCCGGAUGUGAAGUAUAGGUAUGCGUAUGGCAAGGGAAUGUGCUUUCGAACUCAAUCGAAUUCCCAACACUAGCCUGGUG
RNAcentral lists this long non-coding RNA (218 nucleotides) under Oryza brachyantha (malo sina). RNAcentral's name for it is "long non-coding RNA (OBRA_LNC003662)". The record is from RNAcentral. Lineage: Eukaryota; Viridiplantae; Streptophyta; Magnoliopsida; Poales; Poaceae.